Molecule: long non-coding RNA, 337 nt
Organism: Rhodamnia argentea
Lineage: Eukaryota; Viridiplantae; Streptophyta; Magnoliopsida; Myrtales; Myrtaceae
Exons: 4
Source: RefSeq, a predicted model, not a curated record
UGUCAUUCACUGCUUUCAGCCUAUUGAAGAAAGAAUGCAGACCGCAUGGGAACAAGGAAAACUUGUUCUGCUUCAAAACUUGGAUCCAACUUAUGCCUCAUCUGAAGUUGAGGAUAUAAUUUGACAAGGCUUCAAGGAGAAAUGCUCAGCCAAAAUGUUUCCGUAGACUCCAUCUUGUAGCCCUCACUAUGGUCAAGCUUUGGUGAUAUUCGAAACAGAAGAAGCAGCAAGAGAGCCAUAAGAAAACUAGGUGAUGGAUGCUUGGUGCUACCUGAUGGAAGUUGAACCUUUCCAACCUCUUGUCGGCUGCGUCCAGACUCCUUGCUCUCCUGGCCAU